This 69-nucleotide ribosomal RNA is filed under the name Oddoniodendron micranthum. Its description in RNAcentral is "partial 26S ribosomal RNA". It matches the Rfam family "Eukaryotic large subunit ribosomal RNA", at positions 1 to 64 of the family's 3401-position model. Lineage: Eukaryota; Viridiplantae; Streptophyta; Magnoliopsida; Fabales; Fabaceae. The record is from RNAcentral.
GACGCGACCUCAGCUCAGGCGGGGCUACCCGCUGAGUUUAAGCAUAUCAAUAAAGCGGAGGAAAAGAAA